GCCCAGAGAAGAAGCUAGGGUGCCAUGG
This 28-nucleotide non-coding RNA is filed under the name Mus musculus (house mouse). The record is from RNAcentral. Lineage: Eukaryota; Metazoa; Chordata; Mammalia; Rodentia; Muridae.